CCUACGGGAGGCAGCAGUAAGGAAUAUUGGUCAAUGGACGCAAGUCUGAACCAGCCAUGCCGCGUGAAGGAUUAAGGUCCUCUGGAUUGUAAACUUCUUUUAUCUGGGACGAAAAAAGGCGAUUCUUCGUCACUUGACGGUACCAGAUGAAUAAGCACCGGCUAACUCCGUGCCAGCAGCCGCGGUAAUACGGAGGGUGCAAGCGUUAUCCGGAUUCACUGGGUUUAAAGGGUGCGUAGGCGGGCAGGUAAGUCAGUGGUGAAAUCCUAGAGCUUAACUCUAGAACUGCCAUUGAUACUAUCUGUCUUGAAUAUUGUGGAGGUAAGCGGAAUAUGUCAUGUAGCGGUGAAAUGCUUAGAUAUGACAUAGAACACCUAUUGCGAAGGCAGCUUACUACGCAUAUAUUGACGCUGAGGCACGAAAGCGUGGGGAUCAAACAGGAUUAGAUACCCUGGUAGUCCACGCCCUAAACGAUGAUUACUCGACAUUUGUGAUACACUAUAAGUGUNUGAGAGAAGANAUAAGUAAUACACCAGGAAGUACGACCGACGAGUUAGUAAACGUUAAAGUAAGUAGUAGACGAGAGAGAGCGACGGACGGACGACGACGGAGGGAGGAG
Molecule: ribosomal RNA, 619 nt
Filed under: uncultured bacterium
Lineage: Bacteria
Description: bacterial SSU rRNA
Rfam family: Bacterial small subunit ribosomal RNA (bases 1-534)
Source: RNAcentral